CCUACGGGUGGCAGCAGUGGGGAAUAUUGGGCAAUGGGCGCAAGCCUGACCCAGCAACGCCGCGUGAAGGAAGAAGGCUUUCGGGUUGUAAACUUCUUUUCUGAGGGACGAAGAAAGUGACGGUACCUCAGGAAUAAGCCACGGCUAACUACGUGCCAGCAGCCGCGGGAAUACGUAGGUGGCAAGCGUUAUCCGGAUUUAUGGGGUGUAAAGGGCGUGUAGGCUGGAAAGCAAGUCAGAUGUGAAAACUCAGGGCUCAACCCUGAGCCUGCAUUUGAAACUGUUUUUCUUGAGUGCUGGAGAGGCAAUCGGAAGUCCGGGUGUAGCGGUGAAAUGCGUAGAUAUACGGAGGAACACCAGUGGCGAAGGCGGAUUGCUGAACAGUAACUGACGCUGAGGCGCGAAAGCGUGGGGAGCAAACAGGAUUAGAUACCCUGGUAGUC
RNAcentral lists this ribosomal RNA (443 nucleotides) under uncultured bacterium. RNAcentral's name for it is "partial 16S ribosomal RNA". It matches the Rfam family "Bacterial small subunit ribosomal RNA", at positions 338 to 795 of the family's 1533-position model. The record is from RNAcentral.